This 508-nucleotide ribosomal RNA is filed under the name uncultured bacterium. Its description in RNAcentral is "bacterial SSU rRNA". It matches the Rfam family "Bacterial small subunit ribosomal RNA", at positions 17 to 518 of the family's 1533-position model. The record is from RNAcentral.
UUAUGGCUCAGGAUGAACGCUAGCGACAGGCUAACACAUGCAAGUCGAGGGGCAUCACGGGAGUAGCAAUACAACUGGUGGCGACCGGCGCACGGGUGAGUAACGCGUAUGCAACCUACCUAUCAGAGGGGAAUAACCCGGCGAAAGUCGGACUAAUACCGCAUAAAACAGGGGCACCGCAUGGUGAUAUUUGUUAAAGAAAUUCGCUGAUAGAUGGGCAUGCGUUCCAUUAGGUAGUUGGUGAGGUAACGGCUCACCAAGCCGACGAUGGAUAGGGAACUGAGAGGUUGGUCCCCCACACUGGUACUGAGACACGGACCAGACUCCUACGGGAGGCAGCAGUGAGGAAUAUUGGUCAAUGGGCGGGAGCCUGAACCAGCCAAGUCGCGUGAAGGAAGAAGGAUCUAUGGUUCGUAAACUUCUUUUGCAGGGGAAUAAAGUGCAGGACGUGUCCUGUUUUGUAUGUACCCUGAGAAUAAGGAUCGGCUAACUCCGUGCCAGCCGCCGC